Long non-coding RNA from Pseudophryne corroboree (corroboree frog), 1463 nucleotides. RefSeq lists it as uncharacterized. The transcript has 5 exons. The record is from RefSeq and is a predicted model, not a curated record. NCBI's taxonomy places the organism in Eukaryota, Metazoa, Chordata, Amphibia, Anura, Myobatrachidae.
AUCAACUAGACCCGGUAAAUUACCAGGUGUGAAAAAAGGUGUUAGCCUUGGGGUUUAAGUCACAGAGCUAUUCAAUUAGAGCUGUUGUUUCUCACAGAAAUUAUUCUAUAUAUUAUUAUUUUUUUUUGGGGGGGGGGUGUUACUUUGACUGUUAUUCAUAAUUUACAGUUUGUUUACACUAUGAUUACCAUGGCAACCUCAGCCAUAAGCCAUUUGUACACAAAGCCCCGCCCCCUCUGCCAUAACUGCCAACAGAGAUGCUGUGUAACUGUCAGGCGCAGACUGUCGCUUACACUCUCUUGGGGACAAGGGUCAUUUUGGGGUUGUUGUUUUUUUAGCAAAAAUAUGUUUUUCUACAGUGGCUGCCAUAUUGCUGUUCCCCAACAGUGCAAUAUUACAGAAGAAAAACAGAGUUAUCGGAAGGUAUACUGGAACGAAGACAAUCAGCUUCUGCUUUAUAUUAAAAAGGUGACCGUCUGUGACUAUUUAAGAACUUUUCUCCAGGCAGAAAAUCUGAAGAUCGCAGCAAACAUAGAAUACUGCAAUGAAGGUAAUGCCAAAUUUCGGAAGGCCGUCAUGAAACCUCCAAUGACUUGAGUACUGCUGUACCUAUGAGAGAAGAGACAUGUGCCUGCGAAGCCGCAAUCUCCUUUCUAGCCUGGUAGAAAAUGGGGUGUCAUGCUGCAAAGAGCUUCUGAUCUGCACAAACACGCACAUAAAAGACUAACGUUUGGCCUACGAUGAAAACGACAUCGGCGGAGCAUUCAUUGUCAGUUAAUCACACACAGAUUGCUGGUGCUGAAGCCCAUAAUUAUCUUUAUCUAAUAUUUCAACUCGCCCCUGACCACACAAAUAAUACCAUCUUUUGUAGAGGCGUAUUUGUUUGUGUUCCGGUCGGAGUUUGUUUUUAACAAAAAUGCAAUAAAGCCCGUGCAGUACUCAGCCUGCCUUAGAACACUCUCUGUCCUAUCAUUCCGGAACAAGAAGGCCAAAGCAACAGAACGGCAUACACCCAUUUUUCUGACUACACACAGAGUGAAGUACGGCAGCUUACGCUAUGAAAAUUAGUGUAGCCCUCGCUCCACAUCUGCUCCAAAAUGCCUGCAGAUUACAAUAAACAGAAGAGCCUAUUGGAACUACUUGCAAGAGUGGAAACCGUUUCUGUACCAAACCACAAGAUACACAGCAAAGUCGAUAUAAAAGCCAACAUUGAACUGGACUGUUGAAUACAUCAAGCCACUUAUGAAGGUUCAGGAUGCCAGCUUGCAGAAGGGCCCAGAUUUUAUGAAGACAGAAAUUUUCAACUGUUGCAGGGGUAAGUGUUCAAUAGAAGGCUGGGGAUUGCAUCUCCCUCCAACAAUUGUAGGUCCUUUAAAUGUAGAGGUUGCAACCAUCAUGACAAACACCGCUCAGGAUCUUAUUGCGAUUGCAAUUUUUUACUACUAACAAAAUCUUUAAUGCAU